This is a non-coding RNA of Meleagris gallopavo (turkey), 6547 nucleotides long. The record is from RefSeq and is a predicted model, not a curated record. Lineage: Eukaryota; Metazoa; Chordata; Aves; Galliformes; Phasianidae.
CCUAAUGUAGGGAACCUGCUUCAGUGGGUAAGACUUGAUGAUCUCCAGAGGUCCCUUCCAACCACAAUGAUUCUGUAGUGAUUUAAUAGCAAAUUGGAUUCGGCAUCUUUGCCUGUUAACUUCCUUGUUCUUUCCCACUGCAUUCUUGAAAUAAAUCAGUGCUGUUGGUAUAGCAGCACAAAGGGAGUGGCUUACACAAGUCACAUGGCACUUAAAGGAACUUCGACACCAACAAAAACAACAGUGUCUGUCAAUCCUUUGGUUCUUCUCCUGAAGAAAGAAGAGGUGUGCACCUUGGCUCUACACAUGGAAAAUUCACAAAGUGAAAACAAAAAGCUAUUGAUCCUACUUAUUCCAACAAAUGCCAUCCUUUUUCUAUGGGAUCCUUCGGCUGAUGAUACCUGCUCCCCAGAAGUGAUGUUACUUUAGGUAUAUAUAAUCUUGAUGGACUCACCUUCAUUUGUAUGUCUGUUGCUUAUUUGGGUAUGCGUAUGCAAUAUCUCAAAACUGAAACUGUCAUCUGUGAAAUGCGCAAGCCAAAAAGGAUUAUUGCAGUGGACUGCUCAACAGAGGAACUUCAUGUUGUGCCAAAAGUGCUAUUAAGGUUUCUUACUUUCAAAGGCUGUGAAGUAUACAUGUCCCAAAUGCUUUUCAGUGUUGGUGCAGCAUUGUUGUUUCAAGGUCAGUAUUAGAGCUGAAAUAUCACUAAGAUCAUUCAUGCGAAGUACUCACAGUCUGGUAAACUAUUCAUGCUUAGUGUCAUUUUACAAGUUAAAAAUAUUAGUGAAACAUUAGAGAGUGAGAUUAGUGAGGGGAAAAGUGCAGCUUGGUUAAGUUUAUUUCGUGCCAUUUUACAUUUAUUAGUGGAAAAAAAAAAGGCCAUUCAUGGAUUUCACACUUAAUAUUAAACCCACAUACAUUUUUUUUCUUUAUUCAGCACAACUGUCUCAAGUAAAUGACUGGCUAAAUUUUGAAAUUAAUACGGAAGAAAAGCCCACUAAUAACUAUUGGAUGAAACCUGUUAAAGUUGUAUUUACAGAAAGCUGUGUUGUUGCAGUGAUAUUUCUUCCAACAAUAUGCAGUCAAAGAAAGAUGCAGAUACUUAAUUCAAAUAAAAGAUUGUCUUCUGAUGGUGAUUAAAUCCAAAUUUCAUCUAUAUUUGUUGGAGAAGUUACUGAGGAUAUUUUAAAUUAUUUUAACUUGAGACAUAAGAAAGAUAUCUCAAAAUACAAAGAAAAUCUUACUACAGCAAUGAAUUGUUUUAAAUCUCUGGCAAGUUGCAAAGAUGAAAAAAGAGUAAUGUUAGAAAAAAAGAAGGAAUACUCUGGAAAUAAUAAUCCUAAAUACACCCAUGUGUUACAGCUCUGCAAUUUGUUAACAUCCAGAAGUGGUAAGUAAUUAAUACUAGUAAUUUUAGCUCAAUAAUUUACACAAUGUAGAAAAACCCUACAAAUGUUAUUGUAUUCCUGGAGAUGUGAUAUACUGAAGAAAACUAGUUGCAUUGCAUUCUGUCAACCGAUUUAUGAAAGUUUGCAUAAGUAGCCAAUUUUACUGUCACAGUGGUAUUUCCUAUUUUAUAAAAUUAAUUCAUGUUGCCUUAUUGUAGCAGGUGAAACCUCUGCCUGCAGAGCACAUGGAAAGAACUUCAUCUCUUUCCACCUACAAAGUUAAUAUCUGAAAAAAUACCUUUGCUUUUACUUAGGCCAACAGGUUCUAAGGAAAUGGUUACUAAAAAAAGUAAGUACUUCUUUAAUUUCUAGUUUUCCAUUCCCCCAAGAGACCAUUUUUUGGAGUAUUGUUACUUUUUGUGGGACUGAAGAUGGAAGGAAAUAUCCUGGGGUAUACAUGCUGUUCACUAUGCCUGUACCUUGAAGAAGAUCCUGUUCAGGUGCAGAAAAUGAUUUUUACACUCUAUUUGAGCUGCAACAGUGGAAAGCUUGGUAGACUCAGCAGUGGGGAAAGUCAGUGAUUUUGGUACUUCCACGGAAGACCAUUAGAUAGUUCAAUCAGAAUGGACUACAGGAGGCAGAAUGCUCAAAGACUGGAGUAAAUAUAUUGAUUAGCCUAACGCCUGCUGAGCCUUUUUGUUAGCAGCUACUUGUUUUGAUAUUUUCUGGGGGACAGUUAAAAACAGCUCAGUCCCAGCAGGUGAUUUUUGCAUUUACUUGGUCCAUGGCUAAAAACAUCAGCCCUUUUGACCAGCGGGUUUGUUGUACUAUCACUGUGUUGUAUGAAUUUGUAACUGUGAUUUUUUGACUGUUUCUUCUAGACAACAGUAAUGGAGUGGAGACUGUGAUUUACAAGAAAGACAACUUUGUGUGUAAACAUUCAUAUAGCCUAAGAACUACUCAUGGUUUUUAAAUAUGAAGAGAUACUGCUCAGGAUCAUAACUUGUACUUUUGGAUUACUCCCUAUAAAACAGUGUAGUCAUGAUCUAGUGUCACACUUGAAAGAUUGUUAUGGAGUAAGUUAUCAGGUACAAAAAAGUUUUCAAAAGACCAUUUAUAGCUGUGAGAAAUGCACUUUAAAUUUACUAGGCUUGUGUUUAUACGUAUAAAUGAGAGAGCUAGUUUUCAUUAUAUUGAUAGUUCUUCAUGUUUACUAUCUUCAGAAACAAGCUAGUAAAGUUACAGUAAUAUAAAACAAUUUUCUGGAAAAAGAAAAGAAGUUUGUAUUCCUGACCUCUGUUCCAGAACAUUGUGAUGAUGGAUUAUUUAAUAUUUUCUUAGCAGUUAGAAGAGGUGAAGUCCCACAUUUGCUAAAACUGUAAGUAACAAACCAGUGUUCUUACAUGACAUUAUUACUAUGACUGUAUUAAAAUUCCAAGCUUAUGUUUAUUUUGCAUCUUUCCAGAAUGAACUGACAAUAGUGACUCAAGUAAGAAAACAUAGUGAUGUAGCAAACAUUUUUUAUACCUUUUCAAUGACUCUGUGUUUAUCAGCCUCCUUGUGUGUGAUUCAUUUUUAAUAAUCAAGUUUUCCUAUGAUCAUUGUUUAUAAGCAUUAUUUUUCAUAAUCAAAGGAACUUAUAUUUCUGGAAACAAGGACAAAUGAUACUUGUGGGCAAAAAAGACUUCAUCACUUUCUGAAACUUCACAUAUCAUACUGAUGAAUGAUUAGGAUCCACAAUCAGUCAUUUUGAACUGGAGAUCUGCAUAAGUCAAAAUUUGGAAUCACACAGGAACUCUCACUGAAGAUUUAACAGCUUAUAGCAGUUAGAUUAGGCUGUAAAUAACUGAAACUGCCAGAAGAAAAUUUCCUUUUUGCUUCUGUCCAUAAGUUGCCCUGGGCUAUGGUGGAUAUCCAAAAGGGGAAGCAAAUAGUUUGUUUUCCAAGAUGGCAGAGGUUGGUUUAGACCAGCGUGCAGUUGUGUGUGCAGAAGCUAAUGCAGUUGUUAUGAGGUAGGAACUUAUUCAGUAUUUAAAGAAAUAUUUAAAGAAAGUCUUGGUGCUGCGUUUAUCUCUCUGACUCAUCUAACAUGGGAAUUUCCAAUGCCCAGAAAGAAGUGAUGUUAUGUAGCAUGGAAACAUAUUUAGUCUCCUAAGGCACUGGGGGCAGUUGUUUGUCAGAGAUCUGGGUCUGUGUGUUCUUGUGUUCUAAUACACCCAGCAAACUUAUGUGGUGGAGUCUCAGAGCUUCCUGCUAGUCCCGUUUCUGACCUUACGUAAGCCCAGUUUCCACAUGCAGUCAUGGGCAGAGGUCUUCAGGUGUGCUGGAGGCAGGAGUAGCCAGCACAGAGCUGAGACUGCUGUGUGGGCUCUGAUGUUAUUGGAGCCAUUAGAAAUGCAAGGCAUCAAAGCUGAGUGGCUAGCUUAGACUACUUUCUUUGAUACGCACACAGUGAGUUUCAUGUGGUUUCCUACCUGUGGGAAAUUUCUCUGCAUAAUGACUGCUAUUGCAAAUGUCUGUGUUUAUGUUCUUAAUUGAUUGCUCCUCUUGACUGAACAUGGGAGCUGUCACCUACUCCCAUAUUCAGGUGAUCAUGGUUUGAUGGUGAAAUGAUCCCUGAAUACAUAUUACAUUAACAAAAGUAUUUGUCUUUAUGGUGCUGUGAGUACACAAACAGUAAGUAGAUCCAUCUCCUGAGCUGGCAAGUUCAUCAUACAUACUCUAUUCACUUGUCAUAGGCUUUCAGUCACUUACUCUCCUGUCUCAGCUUGUGAUAAAAGACAAAAGAGAAAGGAAUCCGCUCUAGAUUCCAAGAGAAAUAAUUCUCUCCCAGCACACACACCUCAUUUCAUUUGUAACUAUGAUAAUUCUGCAUUUUCUCAGUCCUGAGAGAGACCUCAGUAAUGCUGAACUUCAUCACCACGCGUAGCCCUUGGAGUGACUGUGUGAAACUGAUUGACUCAAAGGAGAUGGCAAAAGUCAUUUUGCUAAAGUGAGAUGGAAAUAAGUGUACGUGAUAUUAGAUAUGGUUAAAAGCUAUGUGCUGCAUUUCAAAGCUUGCUGUUCCUUUGUCCUUCUCUGAGGGUGUCUUCCUAAAGCCAUGUGCUUUCCCUUGGGAGAGGUUUGCACACUCUUCACUUUUUCAGGCUGGGCCUUGUGUGCCACGUUUGAGCUUGAUUGACUGCCAAGGAAACAAUACUUCUCACAGGAGUAUGCAUGGGAAAGUUUGCUGCUCCCACAGUAGAAGGGAAGAAGAUUUGAUGACAGGUAGUGCUUACAAGCCAUUCUUCAGCAGCAGCAGGAAGGAAGGUCCUGGGUGAAAAAAACAAGGCACAUAGACUUUAAAUGGAGUUUCAUUUCCUUGCCAGUAUGAUGUGCAGUUUCAGACAAAUGGAGGAGGACCAGCCUAUCUUCCUGCCUCCCAGAUCAGGCUCUGCUCUCUUGUCCACUGCCACAAGGUCAACAUUAUCUAUAGCAGUUCUUCCCUCUUUGUGAAGAAAUGCACUACUAAAGGUGUGUACAGCUCCCUAGAAAUCCAGGGUCUACAUGCUUGUCUGUCUUACCAUCUAAAUAUCCUGGCAGUGACAGCUCAGAUUUAUGAGAUUGUGGUAAGGACUUUAUUUAUAAUCAAAAUCUUUGUCAUCUAAGGACAUUAUUUUCCAACAGAAAAGUAAUAUACUAUUUCAAGUAGUCAAACAAACUUGUUGCAGGAAAUAUAAGUUGGGGUUUAUACUGGCCUCAAAGCGUUUCAUGUCUUUGAGUCUACAUGCACACAACUGUAUUUAAGGAAUGGAGUGCCCUGGGACUAGUAAUGGCUUUCAGGGACUCUUGCAAUUCUUGCAAAGAGUUGUCUCCAUGGAUAAUAUGUGCACAGAAACCUCUGUGGAACUAAGACUUUAUUGAUGUCAGAUACUGCUAAUGGAGUCAUACUGGAUAAAAGUGUAGAUCAUUAAUACAAGUUAUUUUUAAUAACCUUGAUUUUGCAGAGCUUUUUAGCACAAAAUUAUUGUAUAUCCUGGUAACUCUUUUAUUUAUUUUAAAAGAAGGCCAUCAAAUGAUACUAAAAUAGAAAUAUGAAAUCAGAAAACUAUUUUAGAAAGUCUUUCAUGUUAACUGUGUGUACUAUACAUUUCUCUCUCAUUGUGGUGGUAGUUUUUUUUUUUAAUUAUGUUCAGGUUCAAUCAUUUAAAUCAUUUAGUUUUGAGCCAGGGUUUUGCAGACUAUGGUGCUGACAACUGCUUUUUUAGAUUCCCCCCAUCUGUAACACCAAUACUGGGAUUCUCUAGGGUGACCCUAGACCCAGAAUAAUCUAUGUAAACCUUCUUUAUCUUUAAAAUGUCAUUAUGAGAAUGCUGUUAUUUGUGGCUUGGUGGCUUUCAGCAAUCAUUUCUUUUGCACAGCCUCUGUAGAGGACGCUGAAGUGUUUUUCACGAGAUUAAAUUGAAGGUUUUGCACCUUCAAAAAACGAAAUUGUUUGCACUUUUCCAUGUAUCAUAUGUUUGUGUUCCCUUUGGAGAUGGCAAGCCUCUUUUUUCAUUUCACCCUUGACUUCUGUUAUUUGAUCUGGAAAUAUAUGUGGGCUUUCUGCUUGGUCUGGAGGCUGAGAAAGCAACAGCAUAAAAAGUACUUUGGCAUGGGUUAGCAUAGAAAUAGUCUGUUGUUUAUGUGUGUGCAAGCGCAUAUGCGGCAUGGGGGCUGGGAGAAUUCCUAAGGAUGUCAUACAGUAUGACAAAGCCAUGCUAUAGGCAUCCUGUAAGAGGAACUUUGCAAAACUAAAUGCUAUAUGUAAAAGAGAGUGACAGUAUUGUAAAUCCAUAAUCUCUUCAGACUCCAUAAGCAAUUGUGCAUAGACUUCCUUGUGAAAAGAAGACAGCAGAGUCUUAGGACAAAUUGCAAGAUCCUGCACCUAGGUUGAGGCAAUCCCAAGCACAGAUACAGAUUGGGUGGAGAAUGGCUUGAGAGCAGCCCUGAGAAGAAGGAUUUGGGAGUGUCAGCUGAUGAAAGAUUCAGCAUGAGUUGGCAAUGUGCUUGCAUCCUAGCAGGCCAACCGUAUCCAGGGUUGCAACAAGAGAAGUGUGAGACCAGUUCAAGGGAGGUGAUUCUGCCCCUCUACUCUGCUCUUGUGAGACCUCACCUGGAGUACUGCAUCCAGAUCUGGA